AAGUCGUAACAAGGUUUCCGUAGGUGAACCUGCGGAAGGAUCAUUAUCACGUUAUCCACGUAUCAACCAUUUGUGAACCGUACUCCAACCUCUGGUCUUUUUUUCGUUUGUGUUGCCUUCGGGUGAUGCGAAUGGGGGAGGAUCAGAGCGUAUUAACCCUUUUUCAUAUUAACCAUUCUAACCAAAUCUUUAUAACUUCAUGGACUAAUCUUUAUUUGAUACUCUUCGGAGAUAAAAUUCAUUACGAAACAAAGAACAACUCUUAGCAACGGAUAUCUUGGUUCUCGU
RNAcentral lists this unclassified non-coding RNA (288 nucleotides) under fungal sp. RNAcentral's name for it is "partial internal transcribed spacer region". The stretch from base 1 to 46 matches the Rfam family "Eukaryotic small subunit ribosomal RNA", at positions 1786 to 1831 of the family's 1831-position model. The record is from RNAcentral. Lineage: Eukaryota; Fungi.